UACGGAGGGUGCGAGCGUUGUCCGGAAUCACUGGGCGUAAAGGGCGCGUAGGCGGCCGGAGAAGUCGGUGGUGAAAGCUCGGGGCUCAACUCCGAGUCGGCCGCCGAUACUGUUCGGCUCGAGUUUGGUAGAGGCAGAUGGAAUUCCGGGUGUAGCGGUGGAAUGCGUAGAGAUCCGGAAGAACACCGGUGGCGAAGGCGGUCUGCUGGGCCAAGACUGACGCUGAGGCGCGACAGCGUGGGGAGCAAACAGG
This 253-nucleotide ribosomal RNA is filed under the name uncultured bacterium. RNAcentral's name for it is "partial 16S ribosomal RNA". It matches the Rfam family "Bacterial small subunit ribosomal RNA", at positions 524 to 776 of the family's 1533-position model. The record is from RNAcentral.